AUUAGGCCUUGUCCCCUCGCCUCGCUGACAGAGGGGCCCCCGCCCGCCAGGACUGAGCAGGGUUGGAGAGGCUGGAAGAACCCUUUUCAUGUCCUCGGGCCGGGUGGAGGAGCCGAAAGGAGAAUCUGCCUUGCACUCGGGCUUCUUUCCACCCGACCACGGAGCAGUUUUUUCCUCCCAGUAGCAUCUUAGUGGGGAGAGUUUCAUAAACCCUUUGGCCUGACGCAGCUUUGGAACCUUCCACCCUGUUCUUCCUUGCGUCUGUUUGGCUGGGUUGCCCCUGCCCCUUCCCACGGAGGCGUGAUCGUAUGGAACCCGAAUGCUGACUUCGGGCCUGCGCUGACGGGCCUGUCUGUGUCAUAAUAGACCGCGGCCCCUAAACAUGGUCUUCCUCUUCCUCCUCCUGAAUUGCACUGCUUUCAACGACGAGAUGUCAUUUUUCACUACAAGAUCCAUGUUCUACCUGUCCAACCCACGCACCGCUGACUGGAAUUUGUUGGUUUUGCCUUAGUCUUCAAGAAAGAGCCUGUGCUGGGCUAAGGGGCUGCUGAGAUACGAUGUUCCUUGUUCCGAAGCUUGAACCCUACAAUCAAAUGCCAGGCUGGAUUCCCAAACAAGUGUAUCCGAUGACAGCUUAUUACAGAAGGCUCUGAACUUUUAAGAAUUCUUUAGUAGGAAACAAACAAAGCGCAAAGAUCUCUUCCUAAUUUCCUGUGACUUGAAAUAUAUUUUUAUCC
RNAcentral lists this long non-coding RNA (737 nucleotides) under Fukomys damarensis (Damara mole-rat). RNAcentral's name for it is "lncRNA (ENSFDAG00000031773.1)". The record is from RNAcentral. Lineage: Eukaryota; Metazoa; Chordata; Mammalia; Rodentia; Bathyergidae.